UGGGGAAUAUUGCACAAUGGGGGAAACCCUGAUGCAGCGACGCCGCGUGAGCGAAGAAGUAUUUCGGUAUGUAAAGCUCUAUCAGCAGGGAAGAAAAUGACGGUACCUGACUAAGAAGCCCCGGCUAACUACGUGCCAGCAGCCGCGGUAAUACGUAGGGGGCAAGCGUUAUCCGGAUUUACUGGGUGUAAAGGGAGCGUAGACGGCAUGGCAAGUCUGAUGUGAAAGGCGGAGGCUCAACUUCUGGAUUGCAUUGGAAACUGUCAGGCUGGAGUGCCGGAGAGGUAAGCGGAAUUCCUAGUGUAGCGGUGAAAUGCGUAGAUAUUAGGAGGAACACCAGUGGCGAAGGCGGCUUACUGGACGGUAACUGACGUUGAGGCUCGAAAGCGUGGGGAGCAAACAGGAUUAGAUACC
This 414-nucleotide ribosomal RNA is filed under the name uncultured bacterium. Its description in RNAcentral is "bacterial SSU rRNA". It matches the Rfam family "Bacterial small subunit ribosomal RNA", at positions 355 to 786 of the family's 1533-position model. The record is from RNAcentral.